RNAcentral lists this unclassified non-coding RNA (336 nucleotides) under fungal sp. RNAcentral's name for it is "partial internal transcribed spacer region". The stretch from base 1 to 46 matches the Rfam family "Eukaryotic small subunit ribosomal RNA", at positions 1786 to 1831 of the family's 1831-position model. Lineage: Eukaryota; Fungi. The record is from RNAcentral.
AAGUCGUAACAAGGUUGCCGUAGGUGAACCUGCGGCAGGAUCAUUAACGAUUUAAAAAACAAACUGUCCUUUUUGUUGGGCUGCUUCUCGAAGGAGAAAUUUUUCUCCGUUUCGAGCGAGCUAAAAACAGUAAAUGGUUUCCAAAACUAAAUCGACCUGCUUGAUAAGGGUCGCAGAAUUUACGAUCGAUUGCCGGCCGACAGGCGUACGCGGAUUGAGUAACCGGCAUUCCGCGAGAAGCCUUGGCUGACUUGAUCGCUUGGUCCCAAAAUUAAAUCGACCUAUUAUUAAGGGUCGCUUAAAAAAACUUGCCGAUCGGUGGAUCACUCGGCUGGU